This 283-nucleotide long non-coding RNA is filed under the name Elaeis guineensis (African oil palm). RNAcentral describes it as "long non-coding RNA (EGUI_LNC066540)". The record is from RNAcentral. Lineage: Eukaryota; Viridiplantae; Streptophyta; Magnoliopsida; Arecales; Arecaceae.
GUGCCAAAGGUAGCGCAAGCCCCGAUCGCAGGCCGGCAUCCCGACCGUCAUACAGACAGCAUAGGAUCCGAUGGUCGAGUGUCGCACCGAUUGUAGGUGAGUGUCUGUUGUCCGAACCUUGGUCGGGCAUGUAUGUCAGGCCGAAUGUUGGCCAAUCACCGAACAUAGCAUGUCGACACGAUCACUUCGUAGAGUCUGAUAAUCGAGUAGGGUCCGACGUAUUCGGAUAGGACAUCGAUGAAGGGUCGAAUAUCCAUUAUCCGGCCCUCGAUUGGGCGUGCAC